GCUUAAUAUGUGAUGCAUUGUUGUAUAUAUGCAAUAAACAACAUAGGAUAAGCAUUGUUAAUCAUGUACUACUGCGGUCAAACAGAAAGCGUCCAAUAGCACUACUGCGAUCAAACAGAAAGCAUCCGAUAGCACUAUUAUACAUCUAAAAUGCGCAUUGUUAUAUUUCAAGUAACCUAAACUUUUGGAUCUCUUUGGACCUCAUAUUUCAAAUAUGAAAAUAGAAGCCAUCUUCAUAGCAAACUCUAGUUGCCGUUAUCCAUACAUCUUCAAAUCCACACCAUCUGACUGCAUUUAAGAUGUGGUCUUUUGCAUAAAUCAUCAACCCAUUCAUCUUAUUCCAUAUCCAUAAAAUCCUAAAAGGUCAUAACCAGUAUGAACCUUAGGUUUGUGGGGUUUUGGUUGCAUGAAGUUGUGGCUUCAUUAGUGAAAAAAGAAAAAUAAUUGUUGCUGACCCUUCAUUGAAAAGGUAUAUGAGCCUCUGUGGUAAUUGGUCAUGACUACAAAUGCCAUGAGCUUGAAGUACAACCAAAGAUAAGUGCCUUCUUAGCCUGCAUAGAAGCCCACAAAAAGUAGUUGCAAGAGCGGAGGCAUUUGUACUAAGAAACAGCCGAUGACAAUACAACAUGGAGUAUUAGUGGAUGGAAUGAUAUAGUUGAUGAACUCUACAGAACAAAACCUACCCAUGAUUCUAGCAGAUGGUGGCUUCGAUAUGUGGAUUGUCAAACUCCAUAAGAACCAGAACUAUUGUACAUACCUGCAUAAAUUAGCACUAAUAUUAAUGAGUAAAUCUAUACAAGGGUGUCUACUGCAAACCAAGUAAUUGACAAAAGAGCAAAGCUGAUGAGAAUAACAAGCAUCAAUGUAAAAAAAGAAGAAGGAAGAGCAUGUGAAGUAUCUGAAAUAUAUACCAAAUCUACACGACUACCUUAUGUCACAAAUAUAGCUAUACCAACUAAUGAAUUAAAAAUAAAAAUCAAUAAGAGAAAAUAAGGGAUACAUGCUAGUUAGUAUUGGAGUUAAGCUCCCAAUACUGUUGUGGAGAAUUGGUGUUGUUUAGGACACUAUAAUUUUCUUCAAUGGUCCCCUGUAAGUGUGAACAAAAAAAAAUCAAAACCUUAUUGGCAGUGUUCAACAUCACUCAUAAGAUUAGACAAAAAAGUGAUUGCAUUAUGGAUAUAACAAAUCAUGCCUAUAAGUAUAGACAUUUGAUAAUUAUUCCAUGAAAGAAUUACAAGAUAAGAGGAGGAGGAAUACUAGAAAGUUUCUUAACCCCUGGUAAGGAAACUUAGAAUAGGUAUGCAGCUUCACGAAUAACCAAUAUCCACAACACCAACAGAUGGACCAAAUAACCAUCAUUUGGCAAUCUAUUAAAGCUGAGAAUGAACUUUGGGAACCUGACCAAACAAGCAGACCAAAGAUCAGGUAGGGCAGAUAUUUUCCUUUGCAAGCAGUUACAUUUUAAGGCGUUUAUGAAACAGUAUCAACCGUGAGUUAUUAACAAUCAGAAUAUCAAACGAUGGCAUUAAAUAGUUACAAACCAGAUGGCAUGUUCCUUUUUCAAUUAUAAAUUCUAAUCAAUAAGGAAAAUAGAAGAGUCAGUAAAUGUUAUCCUCAUUUAGCAAUUUAAAGGGUUUUCACAAGUCAGUACAACUAACCACAACCAACUAUAAAAGGCUAUCUAUGACACAUGACAUAUACACAUGCAAUCAGAGAAGAGACAACAUAACAGAGAAAAAAGAGUAAUAUACACAGAUAACAGAGAAAUCAAAGAGUAAUAUACACACAACAAACACACACAGAAAAUAGUAAAGAAAAAGAAUGAUAUACACAACACCUAUUAGAGCAAAAGGAGAAAAUAUUGUCACUGUAAAAAGAGAGAUAAGGCAGAUGUGGAAAAAGCAGAAAAGGGAAAUUGAAAGAGAAAAUAAUACCCAAAAUAGAAGUAAAAGAAAAGGAGGAAAAAGGAUACAAAAAAGGCAAAGGCAACAAACAGAUACAAAAUUAAUCUCAGGUCAAAAUCAUAUCCUUCUUUAUUCUCUUUCCAUUUGAUUGUUAUCAUCUCAAUCGUUUUUUAUAUUCACAUCACUAAUCAAUACACACAGUAAGACAAGCAGAAUUUUAACAUGUGAGGGAUAUGGUUCUUUACCAAAUUCUUUUGUCUUCGCCGAUUUCGAACCACAAACUCAGAGGUGUUUUGCUCUCAUUCUCAUAUCAUAGGUUGUUCCAUAGCAAGGAAUGGGAUAGAGGCCACCAAGUCGAACCAUCAUGGUUGAAUCAGUCCCAACACUGAAAAGGGAUAACAUUUCCCUCUUUUUCGGCACCCAUUUGUAAAAGAGAUGAAGAAGCAAUAGGAAACCAUACCAGCACGACUCGGUGAAGCAGAUCGAGUAUGUAUAAAUUUUAUAUCCUCAAUAAAGUCCUAGACAAUUAAGUGAAAUCCAAUCAACAAAAAACUUACCAAGAAUAUCAUUUUGUAAUGUAAGAGGAAUCAUUACAGCAUGCCAAUAUGAAAAAGACAUAUGUGGUAGAAUUGUAACAAUAGAAUAAAAUUAUAUUGAAAUGUAUACAUUUGUCUCAUACAUGGAAAUGUGAGAAGAGAUACAAUUUAUGCUAUAUAGGGGCUAUCAUUAGAGAUACUAUUGUUUAUAGAGUAAAAUCAAUAAAUAAUAGAAUUUAG
This 2680-nucleotide long non-coding RNA is filed under the name Lupinus angustifolius (narrow-leaved blue lupine). RNAcentral describes it as "long non-coding RNA (LANG_LNC001704)". Lineage: Eukaryota; Viridiplantae; Streptophyta; Magnoliopsida; Fabales; Fabaceae. The record is from RNAcentral.